AGCUAGGAUCUACCUAGUAGUAUGGGAUAGCCACUAGAAAUGGUGGGUAAUACUGUAUAAUCCCUGCGGGGGAAAGAUUUAUCGCUAUUAGAUGAGCCUAUGUUAGAUUAGCUAGUUGGUAGGGUAAAGGCCUACCAAGGCAGUGAUCUAUAGCUGGUCUGAGAGGAUGAUCAGCCACACUGGAACUGAGAUACGGUCCAGACUCCUACGGGAGGCAGCAGUGGGGAAUAUUGGACAAUGGGCGCAAGCCUGAUCCAGCUAUGCCGCGUGAGUGAGGAAGGCCUUAGGGUUGUAAAACUCUUUCAAUAGGGAAGAUAAUGCCGGGUACCUAUA
This 333-nucleotide ribosomal RNA is filed under the name uncultured Anaplasma sp. RNAcentral's name for it is "bacterial SSU rRNA". It matches the Rfam family "Bacterial small subunit ribosomal RNA", at positions 114 to 483 of the family's 1533-position model. Lineage: Bacteria; Pseudomonadati; Pseudomonadota; Alphaproteobacteria; Rickettsiales; Anaplasmataceae. The record is from RNAcentral.